RNAcentral lists this transfer RNA (93 nucleotides) under Synergistota bacterium. Its description in RNAcentral is "Synergistetes bacterium (hot springs metagenome) tRNA-Ser". It matches the Rfam family "tRNA". From Rfam's summary of the family: Transfer RNA (tRNA) molecules are approximately 80 nucleotides in length. Lineage: Bacteria; Thermotogati; Synergistota. The record is from RNAcentral.
GGAGAGGUGUCCGAACUGGAUAAGGAGCCGGACUUGAAAUCCGGUAAGCCCUUGGUAAGGGCGAUGUGGGUUCGAGUCCCACCCUCUCCGCCA